GUGCGCAAAGGAUGCUGAACGUGGUUGCUACGAACUGCUUAUGGUGACUGCUGUUUGUUGUUUUUUUUUUUGUUGAUGGCCACAUUGCAGUUGGGCUAGGGUUAGAUUUGGGUUUGGGUCAAUAUCUUGGGUUAAUGGGCUACUUGGGUUUGUUAUUGGACAAAAAUUGUAAAUGGUUUUGGGCUGCUGUAAUAUGGCCUGUUAUUUUAUUUGGUUUUUUAGCCAGGCCAAAAUUGGCCUAUUACAACUGCCCCUCUUUGCUCGUUAUCAUGUAAUGGGAACGAAGCAAAGACUUUAGAAAUGGCCAAUUUUGUCUGGUCAUGCUGGACUUCGAGACCCUCUUCUUCAAAUAGCUUCAUUCCAUCCUACUGCGCCUUAAGAGGUAUAGGAAUUGAUGCUUUGAUCCACUCCACUGCAACGUCAGGGAGAUAGGAUUUGUAUCUUGUAGCUUCUCAAAAGAACAAAAUUUGCUAUCCUUAGUCUACUCCACUGCAAUGUCAGGGAGAUAAGACUAAAUGCGAUCUACUCUCUGCAACCUCAGAAAGAUAAGAUCUAUAUGUUUUAAUCCACUCCAUUGCAACUUCAAGGAGAUAGGAUUAUUUACUUCAAUCUAUUUAACUGCAGUGUCAGGGAAACAAGAUUCGCCGCCGUGACUUCAAUCUAUUCCACUACACCGCCAGGGAAGUAAGAUCCGCCGUUGUGGCUUCAAUCUUUUAAAUUACAAUGCCGGAGAAACCAGAGCUGCCGUCGUGGCUUCAAUCUGCUCCACUACACCGCUAGGGAAGUAAGAUAUGCCGUUGUGGCUUCAAUCUUUUUAAUUGCAAUGUCGGGGAAACCAGAUCCGCCGUUAUGGCUUCAAUCUGUUCCACUACACCGCCAGGGAAGUAAGAUCCGCCGUUGUGGCUUCAAUCUUUUCCACUGUAAUGCUAAAGAGAUAGAAUUCGCUGCCCACAGCUUCAAUCCACUCCACUUUAGCUAAUCUAAGCCUUAACACCAGGGAGAUAAGAUCCGCCAUCGUGGCUUCAAUCUGCUCCGCUGUAAUGCCAGGAAAAUAAAAUCCACCGUUGUGGCUUCAGUCUUUUCCAUUGCAACGUCAUGGCGAUAGGACUGAUGUCUUCGAUCUACUUCGCUACCAGUACAGGAAGGCAAGAUUUGCCAUUUUCGACCUACUCCACUACUGCCCAGAGAGACAAGGCUGAUAUCUUCGAUCUGCUUCUCUGUCAGUACAGGAAGGCAAGAUCUGCUAUUUUCAACCUACUCCACUACUGCCUAGGGAGACAAGGUUGGUAUCUUCGAUCUGCUUCUCUGUCAGUACAGGAAUGCAAGAUCUACUAUUUUCAACCCGCUCCACUACUGCCCAAGGAGACAAGGCUGGUAUCUUUCAUCUGCUUCUCUAUCAGUACAGGAAGGCAAGAUCUGCUAUCUUCAGUCUGCUCUGCUGCAAACUCAGGAAGGCAAGGCUAAAGUUUCACCGGUUUGUCCUCUGAGGAACAUGACCUGUAUAAUUCAACUUAUGAACCUAAUUAUGCCUAGUGAUUAGGAUAUCAUGACCAGAAUGAAUCAAAUGCUCCUAACUAGACAUGUAUGAAUGACGUUUGAAUGAAUGCAGAAUGUCAUUUUUUCAAGAAUAAUCCCGCUUAGGCAGUCAUUACUCAAAGUUUAUUAAAGUCGUAUCACUGACGCACUACAACGUCCUCUUACUCGGCUAGCAUCUCCAAAAAACAUUCAAUCAAAUUGCCCCCCACUGUGAACUUCAAAGUUCAAUCUACUGGGAUGCAACAUUGGUAUCAUCUUUCUCCCGCUGUAACCCAAGGGUAGAAAAAAAUCUGACCUCUCAAUCUUCUCUUAUCGCAAGGUGAAGCACUUUGGUCCUUUAUACCGUUCUCAAGGUGUCAUACCAAAUGCCUAUGCACAAAUGAAGAAUUUCUUUCUCCAAGGAAACCUCUUCUUCUUGCAAGGUGAUCAUUGUUUGCUUGUUCAAUGAAGCUUUGUCUCCAACACCCCAUCCUGUCAUUUUGUUCGACCAAUGUUUUUAACUACAAAAUCCAAAGAGAAUGUUUUAAUUUAGACUCUUCCUUCUCAGAUUUCCAACCUUUAAACUUGGUGCGCUCUAAACAAUAAUCUUGUUUUAGGUUCCCAUAUUAUUUAGAAACUUCUAAAGUAAUAUGAAAAAUUUCCUUUAUAAAAGUAUUAUUAUCCCAUCUUCCCAAUGAAAAAUGCUUGAACAAGAUUAUCGAAAUGGACAAGAUGAAAUUAAUUGAAAAUAAAACUUAAGAUAAAUAGAUUAUAAAGAACAGUAAGAAUAAAAGAGAAAUGGAUUGGAAAGAUGAAUCUUGAAAAGGAAUAAAGUAUUCCAAGAUAUACAUACUAAGAAGACUAGGUGCCCCAGAUAUCGCAGUUUGAACUUGUCUGCGCAAACUUCCUGAAGACCACUCUGAAUCCGACAUGUGCUUAGAAGAUCUACAGUACUCUAUCGAUGCCCCAAGAUGUUGCAUCCCCUUUUCCAUUGAUUCAAUCAUUGCAAGAUCACCAAAUGCGUCACCUGAUCAGCAUUUGAGCCGCCCUUUUCCGGGUUUUCAACUCAAAUCCCCUUUGGUCUCAAAGUGUUAUUUACGGGUUUUCACAUUGGCCUCUCCUUUCCUCUUUUUUUUAAAAAAAAUAUUUCUUAACUGAAUCUGAAUUUACAGGGUUUGGCAAAUCUUUGCCAUCUAUCUCACUCAAAAUCAAAGCUCCCCCCGAAAAGGCUUUCUUUACAACAUAUGGACCUUCCCAAUUUGGCAUCCAUUUCCCUCUAAAAUCCUUUUGUAUAGGAAGGAUCUUCUUCAACACCAGUUCCCCCUCAUUAAAUUCUCUGGGAUGAACUUUUUUGUUGUAGGCCCGCAUCAUCCGCUUUUGAUACAUAUGACCAUGCCGAACAGCCUUUAGCCUUUUUCCUUCUAUUAAGUUCAAUUGAUCAUAACGAGAUUGAACCCAUUCUGCCUCAUCCAAUUUCAUCUCAGAUAAUACCCGAAGAGAAGGAAUUUCUAUCUCAAUAGGUAGAACUGCUUCUAUCCCAUAAACCAAAGAGAAAGGUGUUGCCCCAAUCGAAGUCCUGACAGACGUUCUAUAAGCAAAGAGAGCGAACGGUAAUUUCUCAUGCCAAUCUUUGUAAGUCUCGGUCAUCUUUCCCACAAUUUUCUUAAUAUUCUUAUUGGCUGCUUCUACUGCACCAUUCAUCUUUGGGAGGUAUGGCGAUGAGUUAUGAUGUCUGAUCCCGAAUUGACUGCAGACCUCUACUAUUGCACUAUUGUUCAAAUUCAACGCGUUAUCAGAUAUGAUCCUCUCAGGCAUUCCAUAUCGACAUAUGAUUUCCUUUUUCAAAAAUCUGCUAACUGCUGACUUAGUAACAUUUGCAUAUGAUGCAACUUCCACCCAUUUGGUAAAGUAGUCAAUAACCACAAAGAUGAAGUGAUACCCGUUAGAAGCCUUUGGCGAUAUUGGUCCAAUGACGUCCAUACCCCACAUAGAGAAAGGCCAUAGAGAAGUCAUAACAUGAAAAGGUGAAGGAGGUGCAUGCAUUUUAUCGCCAUAAAUUUGGCAUUUAUGGCACUUCUUAGCAUAGCUGAUGCAAUCCCUUUCCAAAGUAGACCAAUAAUACCCAAAUCUCAUAAUCUGCUGGCCAUUGUGAAACCAUUUGCAUGUGUUCCACAGAUACCCUCAUGGACUUCUUCUAGAAUUUUUCUAGCUUCCACUGCACCCACACAUCUUAGCAGUACUUGAUCCUUCCAUUUUUUGUACAGGAUUUCUCCAUCUAGAACAUAGUCAAUAGCUAAUCUUCUCCGUGCUCUCUUAUCAUUCUCCGUUGCCUGAUCUGGAUACUCAUGAUUCUUUAUAUAUCGCAAUACAUUCAAAUACCAAGGAUGGUCAUCCUUUUCCUCUUCCUCAACAUUAUAACAGUGAGCUGGGGUUUCAGAGAUACUCAUCUGAAUAGGCUUCAUAUCCUCUAACCUAUUCACUCGGAUCAUGGAGGCUAAAGUAGCCAACGCAUCAGCCAUCUGAUUCUCAUCUCAUGGAAGAUAACAAAAAGUAAUGUCAUCAAACUCGUCCAUCAAUUCGAGAACCAUCUUUCGAUAACUGAUCAGUUUAGAGUCCCUUGUCUCACAUUCUCCUUUGAGUUGAUAUAUCACCAGUGCAGAAUCCCCAUACACUUCUAACACUUUGAUUUUACGCUCGAUGGUUUCACGAAUGCCCAUAAUGCACGCUUCAUACUCUGCCAUAUUAUUCGUGCAAUCAAAAUCUAGUUUGCUAGCAAAAGGAUAAUGAUCUCCGCUUGGAGAUAUUACGACUGCCCCAAUUUCAUUAGCCACAGCAAUUGAGGCUCUAUCAAAAUUUAACUUCCACACCUGAUCCCUUUGGGGAUUUUCUUCAAUGGUUGCCACAUACAUCAAAUCCUCAUUUGGGAAAUCAAAGUUCAAAGGCUCAUAAUCCACCAAGGCUCUGCUAGCUAAAAAGUCAGCUAUUGCGCUCCCUUUCACAGCCUUCUGACUCACAUACACUAUGUCAAAUUCAGAAAGCAAGAUCUGCCACCUAGCCAUCCUCUCAUUCAAAGCAGUCGACUCUAUCAUAUACUUUAAGGGGUCUAACUUUGAAAUAAGCCAUGUCGUAUGAUACAACAUAUAUUACCGUAGUCUUCGAGUUGUCCAAACCAAAGCACAACACAACUUUUCAAUAGCCGAAUAUCUCGCUUCACAAUCAGUGAAUUUCUUACUGAGAUAGUAUAUUGCCCUUUCCUUUCUCCCUGUCUCAUCAUGUUGGCGUAACACGCACCCCAUGGAAUUGUCAAAUACUGUUAAAUACAGUAUUAAUGGCCUAUCCGGAUUAGGUGGUGAUAGCACUGGAGGAUUAGACAAAUAUUGUUUUAUUUUGUCAAAAGACUUCUGGCAUUCUUUAUCCCAUACACCCGGAUUAUGCUUCUUUAGAAGACGGAAUAUGGGAUCACAUUUCUCAGUUAGUUGUGAAAUAAACCGAGAAAUGUAUUUCAAUCUCUCUAAAAAACCCCGUACUUCCUUCUGAGUGUGUGGUGAAGGUAAAUCUCGUAUUGCCCUGACUUUGUCUAGAUCAACUUCAAUUCCUUUCCCACUGACUAUGAAGCCCAACAACUUCCCUGAUCUAGCCCUAAAGGUGCACUUUGUUGGAUUAAGCUUGAGCUGGAAAUUUCUUAGUCUCAAAAAUAAUUUCCGCAGAACUUGAACAUGCUCCUCUUCUGUUCUGGAUUUUGCAAUCAUAUCAUCAACAUAAACCUCAAUCUCCUUCUGUAUCAUGUCAUGAAACAAAGUUACCAUAGCUCUUUGAUAAGUUGGCCCCGCAUUCUUUAAUCCAAAAGGCAUCACUUUAUAACAGAACGUUCCCCACAAAGUGAUAAAUGUGGUCUUUCUCAUAUCUUCUGGAUUCAUCUUUAUUUGAUUGUAUCCAAAAAACCGUCCAUGAAAGAAAACAAUAAAUAGUCUGCAGUAUUAUCUACCAAAGUAUCAAUGUGAGGCAACAAAAAAUUAUCUUUUGGACUGGCCCCGUUUAAAUCCCUAUAAUCCACACACAUUCGCACAUUUCCAUCUUUCAUAGGGACAGGGACAACAUUAGCUACCCACUCUGAAUACUUAACUUCUUGUAAGAACCCAGCAUCAAACUGCUUUUUGACUUCUUCUUUUAUCUUUAGCACAAUGUCAGGCCUCAUUCUUUUGAGCUUCUGCUGAACUGACUUGCAAUCCUCCUUUAUGGGAAGAUAGUGCACCACAAUAUCAGUGCUUAACCUAGGCAUAUCUUGAUAUGACCAUGCAGAGACAUCUUUGAAUUCCCGGAGUAACUCAAUGAGGUCUUGUCUUGCCUUGGCAGAAGUGUCAGUUCUGAUCUUUACCUCUUUUCCCUCCUCUAGACUCAUAAUCUCCAAUGAUUCUUUACGAGGUAAGAUUUUCUUAUCCUCCUAUUCUACCAUUCUUAAUAAGUCCGGAGAUACAUUACAGUCUACGUCAUCUUCAAAAUUCUGUGAUCCCUCUAAACACCUGUCUUGUUCAAAAGGUGAUUUUGAGUCUGAAGCAACUUCACUCAUAUCAUUGAUAUCCGGAGACCUAUAAUAGGUGCCAAAGAAUAUACAAAGAAUAUAUAAAUUUAUGAAUAAAAUGUGAUUAUGAAAUGAAUAAAAGAAUGAUGUAGAAAAAGAAUAAAAGAAUAAUUACUCGAAAAAAGAAUAAAAGAAUACUAGCUCAAAAAUGCAUACGAAAAAGUGUAUUUAUUGAAAUUAUAAUAUUCAAGAUGUGCAUAAUCCAUAAAAAAAAUUAUAUUUUAAGUCAAAAUGACAAGGAUGUUCUGCAUAUUUACUCUGAACAAGCUCUAAAAACUAUAGGAAUCUCUUCGUAGUCCAAUUGUCCAGAUCACUUCCAAGCUCGUAAGGGCGAAUCUCUAGCAAAGUCUCUCUUUCAACUGUGUCUAGGGCAUUGAUGUGGGCAUCUCCCAGUAAUUCUUCAACACCUUUCACUUCAAGCACUCUUCGUUCUGGAUGAAUAAACCCUCCUGAUAUGAAAGUCUUAGAUAUGUGAGGAAAAGUCAUAGGCUCCCACCUAACUUCAUUUCCACUCAAGCGUGCCCUUCUUCUCUCCUGUCUUCUCUCAAUUUCCUUUCUUCUUUGUUUUACAUCUGGUCUAUAGCCCAGGCCAAAACGAUCAAAAUUUUCUUUCAUCACUGGUGCUUCAACUCCUCCUUGUAAAUAUCUUCCCAAUCCUUUUCCCGGUACAGCUCCUUUUCCCACCAUUAAUUGAAGGCACAUUCUUGUAGUCCUGGAUAUCAUCGGUACUGGAAUUUUAUUCCCCUCAGCAAUAAAUGUUGCAUUUACGAAUUUUAGAGAUCGAAAAGAGUAUUCCACCGCCUCCUCAUCGGUCUCCACGUAUGGUGCAUUGCUGGUUAUUGACGCAAUAAGACCUUCUUCAACAUUUAUUGUCACCAAUCGUCCAUCCGACACUAACUUUAACUUCUGAUGCAAUGAUGAAGGCACAGCCCCUGCCGAGUGUAUCCAAGGUCUCCCUAACAAGCAGUUAUAGGAAGGCUUGAUGUCUAUUACGAUGAAAUCCACUUCAUAAGUACUUGGGCCAAUCCGUAAUGGUAUCUCAAUUCUCCCCAUAACCUUUCUUUCUGUUCCAUCGAACGCCCUUACUACAUUUUGACAUGUUUUCAUAUGUGAGCUAUCCACAGGUAGCCUAUUGAGAGUAGAUAAGGGAAAUACAUUUAAUGCGGAUCCAUUAUCAACCAAAACUCUUGGUAGCAUAUAUCCUUUGUACUUAGCCGUAAUGUGCAGAGCUUUAGUAGAACCCAUACCACCAAACAAUAUUUCAUCAUCAUUGAAGAAGAUAAAAUUAUCAGCGCUUAUAUUAUUGACCAACCUAUCCAAUUUGCUAACAGAAAUAUCAUUGGCCACAUAUGUUUCGUUCAACACCUUCAUUAGGGCAUUUCGAUGUACCUCUGAAUUCAUGAGCAAAGCCAACACAGAUAUACGAGCUGGUUGCUUAUGCAGCUGCUCUACCACGUUAUACUCAUUGUGCUUCAAAAAUUUUAAGAAUUCAGUAGCUUCUUCUUCCUUUAUUGGCUCAUUAAUCAAUGACAUUAAUUCAAACAUAUUCUCUUCCUUUUGCUCUGCUGCAAGGACCUUUCCCUCUACCAAUUCUACUUGAGCAUUUAUCCGACUACAGGACUCCUCAGUAUUCGUAUAAGAACCUGUCUUUUGGUUUUUUUCACAACACUAAUUGAAGUUUCCUUCCCCGAAACUGUUACCUCGCACUCAUAAUUCCAAGAGACCUUCUUGCUAUCCUUAUACGAAAACUUCGUCGGUUUUUGGAUGAAAAUCUUCAGUGUCACCUGUGCCCUAACUUUAGUAACCUUAGGGCGUAAAAUGAUAAUCACAGGAUGAUUAACCUUUGGAAUCCUCGUCUCUGACUCGAUGCGCAUAUACUUUCUUUUCCUUCCACCUCUUCAAAAAACUCUAUUUCUCUAUUAUCCAUCAUGCUCUGGAUCAGAGCUCUAAACUUCUCACAUCUUUGAAUUUCAUGUCCCACCUCAUGAUGGAACUCACAAUAAUUUUGGGUCUUGCCACCCCCUACUAAAUCUGAAACAAUUAACCCUUUUCCUACUAUUUCUUUCCAAACCCUCCUCAAAGGGAUCUUUACCUCAGUAAUAUUCUCCUUGACCUUCUUCCCCAUACCUUCACCCACCAUGUUUACCCUAGCAUCAGUAUGAUUGGGUAAUGGAUUUUUCGUACCUGAUGAAUCAUCUACCUUAACAACGCCCAUCUUAAUAAGCUUCUCAACAAGCCUUUUAAAAGCAGUACAAUGCUCUAUUGAGUGCCCCACAACUCCUGCAUGGUAAUCGCAUUGUGCAUUCGCAUCAUAACAUUUAGAAUAUGGAGACUGUAAAAGAGUCAAAUAAAAUGAGGCAACAACGUACGCGUUAAAUAAAUUCUGAUACAACUCUUUGUAAGACAUAGGGAUGGGUAUGAACUGGGGCCUCUCAGUAUUUAGCCUCACACCAGAUUCCUGUUUUGAUGAACCCUGUUGACCUGCUACUACCUUCCUGGGCUGAUUCACCAUAAUUGACUUGUUGUAUGUAUUCACGUUGUUCACCUCACUUUCUUUUUUCUUUGAGUUUUGCCUUCUGUUGUUCUCUCCAACAUCAAUCUUCUCGCUCUUUAUAGCACUUUCAAUCAUCUCACCACUCAUUACUAUGUCAGUAAAAUUUUUCGUGGCACUGCCUAACAUGUGUGUGAUGAAGGGGGCCUUCAGUGUAUUUACAAAGAGCAUCGUCAUUUCUCUUUCAAGGAGCAGUGGUUGGACCUGUACUACCACCCCCCUCCACCUCUGAGCGUACUGUCUAAAACCUUCAUUUGACUUUUUCUCCAUGUUCUGCAAGAUAAUCCUAUCAGGAACCAUUUCCGCCACAUGACUGUACUGUUUCAUAAAAGCCUGUGCUAAAUCCCUCCAAGAGCUAAUCCUAGCACGGCUUAAAUGAUUAUACCAUUUAGACGCUGCCCCCGUGAGGCUAUCUUGAAAACAGUGUAUCAAUAACUGGUCAUUAUUGACAUACCCAGUCAUUCGCCUACAAAACAUAGUAAUGUGGGCUUCAAGGCAAGUGGUCCCAUUAUACUUCUCGAAAUUCGACAUUUUAAACUUGUAAGGAAGCACUAAAUUUGGUACCAAACUUAAAUCUUUAGCAUCAAUCCCAUGACAUCUUUCAGUAGUUUCCAUUGCUUUGAAUUUCUCCUCAAUCCACUUCCAUCUUUCUUCCAAUUGCUUUGGUAAUUCCUCUUUUGUUUUCUCUUUUCCAACUACUUCAUCAAAAUCAGGAACAAUAGGAUUGGCAGGAUUAUUCUCAGGACUAGAGCCUGAUCCGGCCUGGAAAUUCAUCGACCUUGAAGCAUCGGCCUGAAAUUGCUAAGGCCUAAUCGUAAUAGAAGAUUUGCAUGGGUAAACCUCAACUUGAGGCUACGCAUGUGGAGGGGUAAAGCUUGGAGGAUACAAGAGUCCAUCAUCACCUUCCUCUUCAAUAUUGGCCAUAAGGCCUUUUCCUUUAUCCUUUCCUUCCGUCAACUACUGUGUUAACUUUGUCAUCAUACUUCCUUAAGAUUCCAUCAUUUUCUGCUGAAUCUUCUCGAGCUGCUCCUGCAUUUGCUGCCGAAUUUGAUCCUGCAUUUCUUUUUGGAAUUGCUCAAGCUUUUCUAAUCUUUGAUCCAUACUUCUUGAUUUCACUCGUGUACCGUAACGAUGCUGAGUUGGCUCAUUAGAUACCAGGUUAACUGAGGAAUGAUUUUGAUUAAUCAGAACCCUUUGAUAAUUUUUAAUGCAUGUAAUGCGAUGUACGAAAAUGAAUGCAGAAAAGGCGUUAAUUAUAAUUUUAAUUACUUUCAGAAAAACUUUAUCAGAAAAUAAAUCUCUUUACAUAGAUUGGGCUACAAAUAUGGCUUUGCCCUAAUACUUAAGACCUUGAUCUCUUUAAGCAACGAUGCUAACUCUUGUCCUCGAUCUGACUCUAGCUCGUACUUUACGCUCAACGUGUCAGCUUGUACUGCUAAAGUUUGCAAGUGGUCUGCCACUUCUCGAAUUUGUACCACAGCUUCUUCCAUAACGUGAUCCCUAUUUCUGACUUGAUCCUGGAAAUAAUGAAGUUGCUCAUUCUGGCGACCUUCCUUUGCCUCUAGAUGCUCGAUCCGAACCUCACAACUUCGUAAUGCAGCUUCUAACUUUUCUAUUUUACCCUUCAUUUCUUCGAUCUUGCUCAGACUUGCUUUCAGCUCUAUUACAGAAUUUCGACUUCUAUGUUGACGGAGAGACCCUUCUAACUCAACUACUCUGACUUUUAGUUCUCCUUUUUCCUUUUGGCUCUCCGACAAGCUUCUUUCUAAUGCUUCAUUUCGUGCUUGCAUUUCUUGAAAUUUUAUUUCCCACCAGUCUGACUUGUUUCUUUCUUCUCGAACCUCUUCACGCCACUACUCUAAAGUUUUUCCAAGCCCAGCAGUUCUUAUUGACUGACACAGCUUCUUGUAAUUUAUCUUCAAGCUAUCUAGCUCAUCCUCGGCCUUAUUCUUCCCCUUCCUUAAUUUAUCAGCCUCGAGCUUUUGAACAUCUACAUCCAAUCUCAAACCCACUUUUUUCUUAUCCAUUUACUCUAUUUUCUUCUCUAAUUCCGCACUUUUUCUUUCAAAAUCCUACUUUAUAAUUUCCAGCUCAGUAGGAACAACCCGCAAAUUUUCUUCUAUUGACUGACUAUUUUCUAAACUCGGCGUAGGAAUGUUAUUGUUGAUUCUCUUAACCCUCCAUUCGCUAUACUCGGGAAUUGUCAUUGGACCCACAACUAAUCUCUUCAUUCGGCGAGUCUGAUUCCAUGCAUUGCCAUCUCACGAACCUUCUUCUUGUAGCCAUCAUCCUUAUACGAGAAUUCACACUCGGCCAAUCCCUAAGUUGCAGGCACAAACUGUCUUGACCUGUAUUGCCUUAACACUAGCAAUCGGGCAUAACCAACAACUCCCCAAAUUCCAAGCAAAGGAACCCAAUCAAAAUCCCCACACCGAUAUAGGACUUCAUUUGGAAACAGCCACAGAGCUCUCCACUCGAUAUCUUCUUCUUGAAAAUUCUGAAAAAUUGACAUCCAUUUCUCCUCCGAGAUGUUAUCCUUCCUUGGUGUAGCCACUAUCUCUUUCAAUGGUGAAUAACUUUCAGAGAAAACCCGAUAUGAAACAUUAUCAACCUUCCAAAAGUGACUGUGGAACCAUGCAAGUAGGAGCUGCGCGCAUCCAAUGAAUCUACCCUCUCCUACCCUCCGGCAUGCAUUCAGUGACCUGAAAGUUUCUGCCAAAAUUACCGGGACUGGUGAAACUCUCUUAUCAAGCCGAUCGAAUAAGUCAGUAACCGCCUCAUCAACAUGCCCCAAAGUCUUAGGGAACACAACCAAACCAUAUAUACUUAAAGCAAGGACAUCUACCCUCUUCCCCACAUCUGGGUGCGCUAAAAUGAGGUCCUUCAAAUCUUUCCAAGGAAUGCACUUGCUAUCCCCCUUUUGCUUGAUCCGAGCCGUAACCCACUGCUCACUCAUCCCCGUUAUAUUCAUCAACUUCCUCAAGAAGGUCGGUACAUUUACCGCUUUCGAAUAGAUUCUGUCUACUUGAACCCUCGAACACCGAAGUAAAGCCGUGUACUCCUCUAUUGUAGGCACCAAAUCAACCUUUCCGAACAUGAAGCAACUGUAGGCCGAAUUCCAAAACUGGGCAAGAGCUCGAAACAGACGCUUAUCUACCUUCAUAUCGAGUAAAUAAGGCAAAUCCCCAUAAUUUGAAUAGAACAACUGUUUAACCUCAUUAUUCCGCUGAUCCCAAAUCUCCUUCAACUCUUGUAAGUUGUUCUAAGCUACGCUAACACGAGUGAAGUUCCAUAAUUCUGAUACGUGUCCCUCAACCAAACUAUCACCUUUUUCGCGCUGAGUCAUCUCAGCCCAAGUUCGGACAGCCGUAUUAUCCUCUACUCUAUCAAGAACCCAUCUCCCAUGAUAAAACUUUCUAUCUAGCAACCGAAAAUGAACCAACGCUUUUUGUAAUGAAAUGCCAUGUAAUUGUAAUGCCAUGCAAUUAGAACAAAACACAAAAAGUCAGUAUCAGAUAAAAACAAAUCGAAAGCAAUAAAAUACCUACUCGGGUGACUACUAGGGGUAUAGUUCUACCUAGGGUAGGUUUCAAAAGUUCACUAUAUGAGGUUUUGACUUCUAGGGUAAAGGUACCCGAACCAGCAGAUUCCUCGAUCCUCACCUAUUAUAGGCUCAUAUGGACCGAGUUCGGUUCAGGGGAAUACAUUUCCCUAUGGCUGCACGGAGAUGAAAAUCUCACGAAGACAUAGGUACGGAUGUAUCCCGAAAGCGAUCCACUAUUCUGCACGGAGGUGAAAACCUCACGAAGGACUAGCUUUUCACUCCCACUUAGAGGGGUAAAAUUGACCAACCAAUGCAAUGCAAAAUGCAAAUAAACCAACAGAAUUAAACCAACCAAACAAGCAUAUGAUAAUUAAAACUAAUGAAUGCAAAGGGAAAAUCAGGUUUUAAAACAACUUUGAAUUUUUGACAAAAAAGACAGAAGAUAAUCAAUUCAUGGCUCGACUCUCAGAAGUCCCCAGUGGAGUCGUCAAGCUGUCGAAACCAUUUUUUUGAAAACAAAAAUUGAUUGUCGACUUUUAAAAAAAACAAAAAUUGGAGUCGCCACCAAUCCUUGAUUGAGGUGUGAUCAGCUCACCUUAAAAACGAUUUUGGUCUGCGAAAUUUAAGAAAACAGGUUCGGGAGUCAGUUACGCACGAGGAAGGGUUAGCACCCUCGUAACGCCCAAAAAUCGGUACCAAAUUGAUUAUUUAAUGUCUUGGUGUCGAAAAUUUGAAAAGAUUUUAAAUAAAAAUUUUUAACUCGUGGAUGGAUUAAAAUGAUAAAACAUUCUUAUUUCAAAGAAAUAAAACACCACACCUAGUAAGUUAGGGCACAAUAUUUUAAAUCUUCAAAAUACCAAAUAUUGCAUUUUGUUUUUUCUUAUUUCGAGAUAAUAAAAUGUCACGACCAGUAAGUUAGGACACGACAUUUUUGGAUUCCCGAGAAUAAGCUUUUAUAUGAAAUUUUUGUGAAUUUAUUACAAAAUAAAUACUUGAUUUUCUAAAUUCAUCGAAAAAUAAUCACAAUCUAGUAAGUUAGGACACGAUCUUUCUCGAGAACCAAGAUUGCCAAAUAUUUAAAAUUAAAAAAAAAACAAUUCUAAUACUUUGACGAAGCCAAAAUAUAUUUUUCUUUAAAAGUAUGAUAAAAUGUUAAUGCAUAACAUGAAAUUAUUACCUUAAUUUAAAUUAUACAUAUAUAUGUAUUUACAAAAUAUAAUAUAUAAGUAAAUUUAAAAAAAAUGUAUAUGCAUAUAUUAAACAUGUAUAUAAAAGUUAUGAAAAUAAAGUGUAAAAUAUGUAUAGGUAUAUAUAUAUAAAAGUAAAAUGAAUUAUGAAAAAUGCGUAUAUAUAUAUGUAUAUGCAGGAAAAAUGCGGAAAAUAUAUUUAAUAAUUUUGAAGAGUGUAUGGAAAAAAAUAUGAAAGACAAUAUGAAAAUCAUAAAAUAUAAGUAUAUGUAUGUAUACAUAUAAAACUAAGAGAAAUAAAGUGAUAAUAAUAAAAUAUAUAAGACAUGUAUAUAUAUUUUAAAACCAUUUAAAAUAUGUACAUAUAUCUAUUAACAUACAUAUGCGUAUAUACAUAUAGGUAUAAUAAUAUUAAUAUUUAAUAAAAUAUUAAAUAAUACUAAUAAUAAUACAGUAAUAAUAACAAUGUAACAGUAUUUUAAAAAAAAAAACUUAAAAUGACAAAUGAAGGAUUAAUUUAAACUUUAAUUUAAAAAAGGGGUAAAUUUGAAAAAUAAUAAAAUACGAACGGACCGAUUAGAACACACAAUUAACAGUGGAGGACCAAAAGAGAGAUUUACCCAAAAUUCCAAAACACUGCACAGCAACGAGGACCGAAUUGAAACAAUAUUUAAAUAUGCAGUAAAAUUUAAAAGAAAUAAUAAAUUUAAUUUAAACAACCCCAAAAAGCAAAGGACCAAUCGCACAAAUGGCCCCUUUUGAACCCAUAUAAAAUCCCAUUUCAAAACCCUUUCUCUGCCAUUUUUGUAUUUGCCGCAGCCUCCCUUUCCCACUGCCGCUCUGCAUUCCUCUCAUUCCAACGACGGAAUGAAGAUCCCUCAACGCCGGAUGCGACGGUAAGUCCUCCUCUACUCCCCUUUUCCGCUUUUAUUUUAAGAAACAAGAUAGAAAAUAAAAAAGGAAAAACAAAUAAAAAGAAAAAAAAUGAACAGAACAAUUACCUUAAAAAAUUUGCCUUUUUGAUUCCUUAUUUUCGUAUUUUCUUUAUUGUUUUUUUCAUACAAUAUUGCUAACCCCAUUUACAGAAAACAAAUGGCUUUUUAUAGCCAAAUAUUUACAGCCAAAAUAAUAAUUUUUUACAAUUUUUUGCUAUAUUUCCCGUUAUCUCUACUUGUUCGUGGCUCGUUGCAGGUUCCACUGGGGAGAAAUCGUGCGCAAAGGCUGCUGAACGUGGUUGCUACGAACUGCUUAUGGUGACUGCUGUUUGUUUUUUUUUUUUUGUGUUGAUGGCCACAUUGCAGUUGGGCUAGGGUUAGAUUUGGGUUUGGGUCAACAUCUUGGGUUAAUGGGCUACUUGGGUUUGUUAUUGGACAAAAAUUGUAAAUGGUUUUGGGCUGCUGUAAUAUGGCCUGUUAUUUUAUUUGGUUUUUUAGCCAGGCCCAAAUUGGCCUAUUACAAAGCUGUUUAAAAAUGAUUUCUCACUUUCACAAUAAAAAGUCAAUGAACAUAUAUCAUAACUUUAAUUAAAAUUGUAUUAAUUAAUUGAUAUUUUGGCCGCUAUCUAAUAAAUCAAACCACAUCAAUAAAAUUAUUUACUUGAUAUUAUUGUUAAUUUUAUUUUCAAAAUUACAUCUAUGAAAUCAAUCAAUCAUGGAAGUUGAAAUUUUGAAUUCCAUGUGCAUCCAUAAAUCCGAAAAUGAUUAAUUUCUAUGGAGCAUAAAACGGAUACGAGAUAAGAAACUAAAUCCUAUUAUCUUUAUCAGUCA
RNAcentral lists this long non-coding RNA (15142 nucleotides) under Gossypium barbadense (sea-island cotton). Its description in RNAcentral is "long non-coding RNA (GBAR_LNC022473)". The record is from RNAcentral. Lineage: Eukaryota; Viridiplantae; Streptophyta; Magnoliopsida; Malvales; Malvaceae.